This 494-nucleotide ribosomal RNA is filed under the name uncultured bacterium. RNAcentral's name for it is "bacterial SSU rRNA". It matches the Rfam family "Bacterial small subunit ribosomal RNA", at positions 903 to 1397 of the family's 1533-position model. The record is from RNAcentral.
AAAGGAAUUGACGGGGACCCGCACAAGCGGUGGAUGAUGUGGUUUAAUUCGAUGCAACGCGAAAAACCUUACCCACCUUUGACAUGUACGGAAGUCGCUAGAGAUAGCUUCGUGCUCGAAAGAGAGCCGUAACACAGGUGCUGCAUGGCUGUCGUCAGCUCGUGUCGUGAGAUGUUGGGUUAAGUCCCGCAACGAGCGCAACCCUUGCCAUUAGUUGCUACAUUUAGUUGAGCACUCUAAUGGGACUGCCGGUGACAAACCGGAGGAAGGUGGGGAUGACGUCAAGUCCUCAUGGCCCUUAUAGGUGGGGCUACACACGUCAUACAAUGGCUGGUACAAAGGGUUGCCAACCCGCGAGGGGGAGCUAAUCCCAUAAAGCCAGUCGUAGUCCGGAUCGCAGUCUGCAACUCGACUGCGUGAAGUCGGAAUCGCUAGUAAUCGUGGAUCAGAAUGUCACGGUGAAUACGUUCCCGGGUCUUGUACACACCGCCCGU